UUAGUACUGAAAUACGCUUAGCCAACCUAGAGAUUUGAACUGUAAUGAUUGCGAUUUUCCUUACCUGUAUUUUAUAUGGCAUCUUUAGACCACCGUUUAUUAUGUACGUAAGUAAAUAUUGCCCGUUUAUUCGAAUUGAAAGUCGUCGUCUGCACUAUGUAUUAUGAUUCUCAUAAUAUCUCCGCCCCCCCCCCCGAUAACUAUUUUGUGGUCGACUCAUUAUCAAUCGAAGCUGAACUCUGCGCCCUUGCACAAAGCAGCGAAACAUCUCUUGUAAACACCUGAGAACCAAAGUAACACCUAUCACCCCCCCCAUAAAGCCCUAUAAAGCCCCCCCAUAGUCACCCCACCCCCCCCGACGUCGAUGGUUUGCCCCCCCACCCCCCACCCGCACCCCCUGAGUAACAAGUUUUCUGAUGAUUAUAUAUAUUAUGACAUUACAGCACGUGUGAUUUAUCUGACAGGUCUGUGAGGUAGCGGCGUUUCUUUCGGCGCCGUGGUUGUCGUGGAGACGCAGACAGACGUGGGGAAGGAAGGAAGGAAGGACAGUGUGUUUGUCUUACAACUCUCGGACUUCAAGUCUCGUUCUGGAUUCAAAUCUCGAGAUAUUUCCGUCCAUAAAGAACACAGGCAGGAAAGAUGGCGGCGGUGGCAGGACGUUGAUGCGUUCCCGCCACUCAGAAACAACGGAGUCAAUAAAAGAACCGCGCAACGUGUCAAACCGCAGAGAGACAGAAUAUAAACUUACUACUUUCAUUAUUGUUGUGUUAUAAAGCGGAACGAUGUUAAACGGAGGCACAUUAAUAAAGACGACCUCAAUCAUGUCCCGCCCCACUCCGCCUCUGAUUGGUUUACCCAGAUAUCUCAGCCUAGCUCUAACCAAUCACAGCCCUCAGAUCUAAAAGUAACCAAUCACAUGCGGAGGGGGGCGGGACAUGACUUUAUUUUAAAUAUAACUUUAUUUUAAAUAUAACUUUAAAAACAACAUUAAAGCGUUUGUACAAAAGGCUUUAAACUAUUAAAUUAAAGAAAAAUAAUAAAUAAAGGAUUAUAAAUUAUACAUAUUAAUCAUUUUAAAUGUUUCCAUUAAACAUUUCACCGGUCAGUUUAAUGACAGAAAAAAUAUUAAUAUUAAUAUUAUUAAUAAUAAUAACAGUUAUUAUUAAUAAUAGUAACUGUU
This 1180-nucleotide long non-coding RNA is filed under the name Dicentrarchus labrax (European seabass). RNAcentral describes it as "lncRNA (ENSDLAG00005035034.1)". Lineage: Eukaryota; Metazoa; Chordata; Actinopteri; Moronidae. The record is from RNAcentral.